CCCUUAGAUGUCCUGGGCCGCACGCGCGCUACACUGAGUGUCUGAGAUACGAGUCUGCCUGGUCCGGCAAGGACUAGGUAAUCGCUAAAAGACACAUCAUGCUUGGGAUAGAUUAUUGCAAAUAUUAAUCUUGAACGAGGAAUUCCUAGUAAGCGCAAGUCAACAGCUUGCGUUGAUUACGUCCCUGCCCUUUGUACACACCGCCCGUCGCUACUACUGAUUGGAUGUUUAAGCGAGGUUCUCGAACUGCUAGCGACUUAGCUUCGGUGAGGUCGCAGUGUGGGAAGUGAACCUAGCUUUGGUGUCUAGAGGAAGUAAAAGUCGUAACA
This 329-nucleotide ribosomal RNA is filed under the name uncultured eukaryote. RNAcentral's name for it is "partial 18S ribosomal RNA". It matches the Rfam family "Eukaryotic small subunit ribosomal RNA", at positions 1470 to 1796 of the family's 1831-position model. The record is from RNAcentral.